RNAcentral lists this transfer RNA (71 nucleotides) under Pectenocypris sp. MZB 22148. RNAcentral describes it as "tRNA-Gln". It matches the Rfam family "tRNA". From Rfam's summary of the family: Transfer RNA (tRNA) molecules are approximately 80 nucleotides in length. Their secondary structure includes four short double-helical elements and three loops (D, anti-codon, and T loops). Further hydrogen bonds mediate the characteristic L-shaped molecular structure. tRNAs have two regions of fundamental functional importance: the anti-codon, which is responsible for specific mRNA codon recognition, and the 3' end, to which the tRNAs corresponding amino acid is attached (by aminoacyl-tRNA synthetases). tRNAs cope with the degeneracy of the genetic code in two manners: having more than one tRNA (with a specific anti-codon) for a particular amino acid; and 'wobble' base-pairing, i.e. permitting non-standard base-pairing at the 3rd anti-codon position. Lineage: Eukaryota; Metazoa; Chordata; Actinopteri; Cypriniformes; Danionidae. The record is from RNAcentral.
UAGAAGGUGGUGUAGUGGAAGCACUAAGAGUUUUGAUCUCUUUAGCAUAGGUUCAAGUCCUUUCUUUCUAA